GAUGAACGCUGGCGGCGUGCCUAAUACAUGCAAGUCGAGCGAACGGACGAGAAGCUUGCUUCUCUGAUGUUAGCGGCGGACGGGUGAGUAACACGUGGAUAACCUACCUAUAAGACUGGGAUAACUUCGGGAAACCGGAGCUAAUACCGGAUAAUAUUUUGAACCGCAUGGUUCAAAAGUGAAAGACGGUCUUGCUGUCACUUAUAGAUGGAUCCGCGCUGCAUUAGCUAGUUGGUAAGGUAACGGCUUACCAAGGCAACGAUGCAUAGCCGACCUGAGAGGGUGAUCGGCCACACUGGAACUGAGACACGGUCCAGACUCCUACGGGAGGCAGCAGUAGGGAAUCUUCCGCAAUGGGCGAAAGCCUGACGGAGCAACGCCGCGUGAGUGAUGAAGGUCUUCGGAUCGUAAAACUCUGUUAUUAGGGAAGAACAUAUGUGUAAUUAACUGUGCACAUCUUGACGGUACCUAAUCAGAAAGCCCCGGCUAACUACGUG
This 497-nucleotide ribosomal RNA is filed under the name uncultured bacterium. Its description in RNAcentral is "partial 16S ribosomal RNA". It matches the Rfam family "Bacterial small subunit ribosomal RNA", at positions 28 to 507 of the family's 1533-position model. The record is from RNAcentral.